UUCCGGUUGAUCCCGCCGGACCCCACUGCUAUCGAGGUGGGACUUAGCCAUGCUAGUCGAACGAACAGAACUAUGUCUGUAAGUGGCAUACUGCUCAGUAACACGUAGCUAACCUACCCUUAGGACGUGGAUACCCCCGAGAAAUUGGGGUUAAUCCGCGAUAGAUGUAAUGUCCUGGAAUGGUAUUACGUCUAAAGGUAUUUCAUACAUGUUUGAAAUAUGCCUAAGGAUGGGGCUGCGGCCGAUCAGGCUGUUGGUGAGGUAAUGGCUCACCAAACCUUUGACCGGUACGGGCCAUGAGAGUGGUAGCCCGGAGAUGGACACUGAGACAAGGGUCCAGGCCCUAAGGGGCGCAGCAACCGCGAAACCUCCACAAUGCACUCACGUGCGAUGGGGCUAUCUCGAGUGCCACCUGAUGAAGGUGGCUUUUCCUUGGCCUUCAAAGCCUUGGGAAUAAGAGGGGGGCAAGACUGGUGUCAGCCGCCGCGGUAACACCAGCCCCUCGAGUGGUGGGGAUGUUUAUUUGGCCUAAAGCGUCCGUAGCCGGCCGUGAAAGUCUUCCGUUAAAUCCAGCGUCUCAAGCGUUGGACCGCGGGAGAUACUACAUGGCUAGAGAGUGGGAGAGGUCAGCGGUAUUCUGGGGGUAGGGGCGAAAUCCUUUGAUCCCCGGAGGACCACCAGUGGCGAAGGCUGCUGACUAGAACACGUCUGACGGUCAGGGACGAAAGCUGGGGUAGCGAACCGGAUUAGAUACCCGGGUAGUCCCAGCCGUAAACGAUGCAUGCUAGGUGUUGGGUUGGCCACGAGCCACCCCAGUG
RNAcentral lists this ribosomal RNA (818 nucleotides) under uncultured archaeon. RNAcentral describes it as "bacterial SSU rRNA". It matches the Rfam family "Archaeal small subunit ribosomal RNA", at positions 1 to 800 of the family's 1478-position model. The record is from RNAcentral.